RNAcentral lists this ribosomal RNA (328 nucleotides) under uncultured eukaryote. RNAcentral describes it as "partial 18S ribosomal RNA". It matches the Rfam family "Eukaryotic small subunit ribosomal RNA", at positions 1470 to 1796 of the family's 1831-position model. The record is from RNAcentral.
CCCUUAGAUGUUCUGGGCCGCACGCGCGCUACACUGAUGCAUUCAACGAGUCUAAAACCUGCUCUGAUAGGGGUGGGUAAUCUUUUGAAUCUGCAUCGUGACGGGGAUAGAUUAUUGCAAUUAUUAAUCUUCAACGAGGAAUGCCUAGUAGGCGCAAGUCAUCAGCUUGCGUCGAUUACGUCCCUGCCCUUUGUACACACCGCCCGUCGCUCCUACCGAUUGGGUGUGCUGGUGAAAUGUUCGGAUCGGCCGUUUGUCGCGGUUUCCGCGUCAUGUGGCUGAGAAGUUCAUUAAACCCUCCCACCUAGAGGAAGGAGAAGUCGUAACA